UGAGGAAUAUUGGUCAAUGGACGAGAGUCUGAACCAGCCAAGUAGCGUGCAGGAUGACGGCCCUAUGGGUUGUAAACUGCUUUUGUUUGGGAAUAAUCGACAUUACGUGUAAUGUUUUGCAUGUACCAUUCGAAUAAGGACCGGCUAAUUCCGUGCCAGCAGCCGCGGUAAUACGGAAGGUCCAGGCGUUAUCCGGAUUUAUUGGGUUUAAAGGGAGCGUAGGCCGCGUUUUAAGCGUGUUGUGAAAUGUAGACGCCCAACGUCUGCAUCGCAGCGCGAACUGGGACGCUUGAGUACGCGCAACGUUGGCGGAAUUCGUCGUGUAGCGGUGAAAUGCUUAGAUAUGACGAGGAACUCCGAUUGCGAAGGCAGCUGACGGGAGCGGCACUGACGCUUAAGCUCGAAGGUGCGGGUAUCAAACAGG
This 424-nucleotide ribosomal RNA is filed under the name Verrucomicrobiota bacterium. Its description in RNAcentral is "Verrucomicrobia bacterium partial 16S ribosomal RNA". It matches the Rfam family "Bacterial small subunit ribosomal RNA", at positions 355 to 776 of the family's 1533-position model. The record is from RNAcentral. Lineage: Bacteria; Pseudomonadati; Verrucomicrobiota.